Molecule: ribosomal RNA, 253 nt
Filed under: uncultured bacterium
Lineage: Bacteria
Description: partial 16S ribosomal RNA
Rfam family: Bacterial small subunit ribosomal RNA
Source: RNAcentral
UACGUAGGGGUCUAGCGUUGUCCGGAAUCAUUGGGCGUAAAGCGCGCGCAGGCGGCUCGGUAAGUCGGGUGUGAAAACUCGGGGCUCAACCCCGGGCGUGCAUCCGAUACUGUCAAGCUCGAGUCCGGAAGAGGCGAGUGGAAUUCCUGGUGUAGCGGUGAAAUGCGCAGAUAUCAGGAGGAACACCAAUGGCGAAGGCAGCUCGCUGGGACGUGACUGACGCUGAGACGCGAAAGCGUGGGGAGCAAACAGG